AUGGAUUCCAGGCUCCUCUGCUAUGUGGCCCUCUGCCUCCUGGGGGCAGGUACCUCAGGUGUUGGAGUCUCCCAGGCCCCCAGGCACAGGGUCUCACAGAGGGGCCAGGUUGUUGUCCUCAAGUGUGAUCCAAUUUGGGGACACAACCGCCUUUACUGGUACCGGAAGACCCUGGGGCAGGGCCUCGAGUUUUUGAUAUUCUUUCAAAACAAGGACACACCAGACACAUCUGGGAUGCCUGAUGCUCGUUUCUCUGCGGAGAGGGCUGACGGGUCGUCCUCCACCCUGAAGAUACAGCCUGUGGAGCCUGAGGACUCGGCUGUGUACCUAUGUGCCAGCAGCUUAGCCACAGAGAAGGGUGCACCGCUGGAGACAGCAGGCAUCAAAUGGGCCUCCUGUGGCUGCACCGCUGGCCGCCUGGGGGCGCUGUGGCUCCUGUGUGAGAGGCUGACAGCCCUGCAAGAGAAGCUGGGAGGGAGCGCCAGAGCCUGCAUUUGGUGGAACAAGAGGAACCUUCCAGGGACCGCCCCGGAGGAGCUGGACAGAGGAGAGGACCCGGAGCCAGUGAGUCUGUGCUGUCGUGGGGAUAGAGCUGUGCUUGGGACCCCCGAGAGGACAGUGACGUCAGAAGGCAGGACCACAGACUAG
Non-coding RNA from Chrysochloris asiatica (Cape golden mole), 648 nucleotides. The record is from the annotation of a RefSeq genome assembly. Lineage: Eukaryota; Metazoa; Chordata; Mammalia; Afrosoricida; Chrysochloridae.